This 395-nucleotide ribosomal RNA is filed under the name uncultured bacterium. RNAcentral describes it as "bacterial SSU rRNA". It matches the Rfam family "Bacterial small subunit ribosomal RNA", at positions 505 to 898 of the family's 1533-position model. The record is from RNAcentral.
GUGUCAGCCGCCGCGGUAAUACGGAGGGUGCAAGCGUUAGUCGGAAUUACUGGGCGUAAAGGGCGUGUAGGCGGGAAUAUAAGUCAGACGUGAAAUUCCGGGGCUCAACCUCGGAGCUGCAUCUGAAACUAUAUUCCUUGAGGAAAGGCGGAGAAAACGGAAUUCCACAUGUAGCGGUGAAAUGCGUAGAUAUGUGGAGGAACACCUGUGGCGAAAGCGGUUUUCUAGCUUAUUCCUGACGCUGAGGCGCGAAAGCAAGGGGAGCAAACAGGAUUAGAUACCCUGGUAGUCCUUGCCGUAAACUAUGUAUACUUGGCGUAAGUGGUCUCAACCCCACUUGUGCCGAAGCUAACGCGAUAAGUAUACCGCCUGGGGAGUACGCUCGCAAGAGUGAA